ACAUUACAUUCAAACUAAUUUUUAAAAUAUUUGUUCAAGUAUUGUUGCAGAAACAAGUACAGGAUGUUUGUUAGCAGCAUCUGGUCUUGGGAAAAGAGGUGUUCCUGCAGAGAAGAUUGGCAAAGAUACAGCUGAAAAGUUAAUUGAAGAAUUGAUGCAUGGUGGAUGUGUUGAUGAAUAUCUACAAGAUCAGUUGAUUAUAUUUAUGGCACUGGCUGAAGGGAAAUCAAGUUUACUGAGUGGUCCUGUCUCAUUACACACAAGCACUGCCAUUCAUAUAGCAGAAAAACUGACAAAGGUAAGAAAUGUACAAAACAAAACAAAAUGCAGCUCUAACUUACAGUAUUCACAAACUUUAAUCAAAUAAUAAAAUUCCAUUGAAAUAUUUAAAGUAAAUUUACAUUUUAAUUAGCACUUACGAAUAGACUUAAUAUUAUAUUAAGAAAGAACCUUUCAUUUUAAAAAUACUGAAGUAAAAGUAAAUUGUAAGUA
Anneissia japonica is the source of this 492-nucleotide long non-coding RNA. RefSeq lists it as uncharacterized. Lineage: Eukaryota; Metazoa; Echinodermata; Crinoidea; Comatulida; Comatulidae. The transcript is spliced from 3 exons. The record is from RefSeq and is a predicted model, not a curated record.